UACGUAGGGUGCGAGCGUUAAUCGGAAUUACUGGGCGUAAAGUGUGCGCAGGCGGCUGCGCAAGUCGAGUGUGAAAGCCCCGGGCUUAACUUGGGAAUUGCGCUCGAAACUACGUGGCUGGAGUGUGGCAGAGGAAGGUGGAAUUCCAGGUGUAGCGGUGAAAUGCGUAGAGAUCUGGAGGAACACCGAUGGCGAAGGCAGCCUUCUGGGCCAACACUGACGCUCAUGCACGAAAGCGUGGGGAGCAAACAGG
Molecule: ribosomal RNA, 253 nt
Filed under: uncultured bacterium
Lineage: Bacteria
Description: partial 16S ribosomal RNA
Rfam family: Bacterial small subunit ribosomal RNA
Source: RNAcentral